Molecule: transfer RNA, 82 nt
Filed under: Lepeophtheirus salmonis (salmon louse)
Lineage: Eukaryota; Metazoa; Arthropoda; Copepoda; Siphonostomatoida; Caligidae
Description: transfer RNA serine (anticodon UGA)
Rfam family: tRNA
About the family: Transfer RNA (tRNA) molecules are approximately 80 nucleotides in length. Their secondary structure includes four short double-helical elements and three loops (D, anti-codon, and T loops).
Source: RNAcentral
GCAGUUGUCGCCGAGUGGUUAAGGCGUUAGACUUGAAAUCUAAUGGGGUCUCCCCGCGCAGGUUCGAACCCUGCCGACUGCG